GAGUAAUGGGUUUGGGCCGUGGCCCAAUUUCUUUCGCUUCUCAGUUGGGCCGUCGUUUCGGUAACAAGUUUUCGUAUUGUUUAAUGGAUUACACUCUCUCUCCGCCGCCGACGAGCUACCUCAUCAUCGGCGACGGCGGUGGCGGAGCUCGAUCCAAGCUUCUAUUCACUCCGUUGCUCACGAAUCCAUUCUCUCCGACGUUUUACUACAUCCGAUUGAAAUCAGUUUCCGUCAACGGCGCGAAGUUACGAAUCCAUCCUUCCGUUUGGGAAAUCGACGGUUCAGGUAACGGCGGAACCGUCGUGGAUUCCGGCACCACCCUCGCGUUUUUAGCUGAUCCUUCGUAUCGACUGGUGAUCGCGACUGUGAGACGACGGAUCCGACUCCCGAUUGCGGCGGAGAUGACUCCGGGAUUCGAUCUGUGCGUUAACGUCUCCGGCGUUUCGAAACCGGAGAAGUUCAUGCCGAGGUUGAAAUUCGAGUUCGCCGGCGGUGCGGUGUUCGUUCCUCCGCCGAGGAAUUACUUCAUCGAGACGGAGGAGCAUGUUCAGUGUCUGGCGAUUCAAUCGGUGAACCCGAAGGUUGGAUUCUCGGUGAUCGGGAAUUUGAUGCAGCAAGGGUUCUUGUUUGAGUUCGAUAGGGAUAGAUCACGGCUUGGUUUUUCUCCUCGUGGUUGCGCUUUGCCGUGAUGAUUCGCCGGAAUAUUUCGUUUCGAGGAUUUUUUGUUUUUUUUUUAAAUCGUUUUCACUUCUUUUUUUAUCCUCUUGAAAGUACUGGGAGACGGUUCACUGUUACCGAAUAUAGGAAUAAAAAUAAUGUUUUUUGGAGUUUGUAUUAUUUCGUAUUUGAUCGGAGAAAUUUCGUCUUUACCAAUUUUAUGAUACCGUUUUUCAUUUUUACUACUGCUAUAACAUUUUCAAAAAUAUAUUUUUUAUUAAGUAGCAAAAAAUUAUUAUACUAUUAUUAUCUAUAUACUAGCUUUUGAUCCGCACACCUUCGUGGAUAUGCUUUUCAAAAAAAUUAUAGUUUAUAUCAACAUGUGAUAAUAUAGAUACAUAAAUUUUACCAUAUUACUUUUGUGUUUUAUAUUGGAUCAUCCAUAUAUUAUAUUUUUUUCUUGGGCAAUUUUCUUAAAUUGUUUUUUUUUAAGUUUUUGUCACAAAAAUAACCUUAAAAAAAAAUGACCGAAAUAGUUUUUUUUUUUAUUUUGAAAAUUUUAAUAUUUAUUUUUUAAUUUUAAAAAUUUGAAACCAUAUCCCUAAAACUCAACCUCUUAACUCUAAACUCUAAGUCUAGAUUAGUUAACCAUAGGGUAAAAUACAUUUUUACCUUUUAAUAAAACUUAUUUUGGUCAUUUUCUUCAUUGAGGGCUAUUUUUGUGACAAAAACUUAAAAAAUACUAUUCUAGGAAAUUUCUCUUUUUUCUUUGAACACAUAUUAUGUGUGUUUACAAAUCUUCUAAAUUCAUAUAUUUGUAUCAAUAACCACAAAAAACAUUUUUCUUAUAGAAAAUUUAUUAUUGUUUGGAAAAAAUGAUUUGCAAAUGUUUUGUUUCUAAUUACUUUUUAUACAAGAAAAUCAUCAAAACAUGAAAAAAAUAUUAAACAUAUUUAUGUGAAUAAUAUAAAUGGAGAAUAAAUAAAUAAAUAUAUAUAUAGGAACCCUUAAUAAGAAAAAGAUGAAUCUUCAUGAAAUCAAUAUAUAGGCCAAGAUUGGGCUUAUAUGUUGACUAAUGCUAAAUCAAAUGCCCUAUGAUCUUUUUUUGAUACGAUGACUACGUAAAAAUAGGAAAAAAGAAAUUAGGAUGUUGUUUUGUUUUCGAAGAAACAAAUAAUUAGUUAUGAUCUUCUGUUGUUAAUAGUGAUUGUGUGAAAUUAGGAAUCAUUUUUUGAAUGGUAGUGAGUUGUGGAAGGAAAAUAGCAUAUUUAGUUUAGAUUUUGUACACAAAAUAAUCGAAAAUACACCAAACAAUAAAUUUGCUAAACCAUAAAUUAGGAAAAUAUCAUAUUUAUUUUCAAUUUUGUACACAGAAAAAAUGAAAAAUUCACAAAACCAUUAAUUUGCUAAACCAUAAAUUAGCUAAACCAAACCUCGAUUAUAUCUAUAUACACAAUGUUGGUAUGCAUAAUCUAAACAAAUAUAGUCAGAAUAUAAAUUGGCUAAAAUAUAAAACCAUAAACUAAAUAUUGAUUAGAUUAUGGUUAAGAAAUCUUGAUCCGGAUCCGGCUUCGACGGAUCCAACAUUUUACUAUCCGGAUCCGGAUACGACCCCUUCGGAAUUUCUUUUUUUUAUUCAAAUUGAUUUACAGUAAAAAGUUGGCAAAUCAAAAAUGACAAAAUAUAUGCAGAAUUCGGUUUUAGUAGGUUCUUACAAUAAUGAUAUUUUCCUAAGCCGCAUAAAAAUAUUUCAUAUUCAUCCGUAAGAAAAAAAAAUAUGAACUCGACGCGUAGCGCCGGAAUACCACUAAUAAAACAAAGCAAAAGAGCCUUCAUGCUUCCAUGUAUUAUUUAUCUAGGCGAUACAUUUGGUAACAAUUAAUGGAGGAACAAAGCUUGAACCUUUGAGAGUCUGCUCAAAUAUGUGACCCAUUUUCAGCAAACAAACCAAUAACAGAAAUAUCACUAAAUCAUCACUUGUUCUUAAUCAAAUCUUGAGUUUAAGCAAAGAUUUAAAUAACAAACCUCAUCAAAGACUGCACCGAUCAUUUCAAGACCAACGGGUUGACCAGAGGGACCUCCUUGGCACUAGUCCACAUGGUAAUACAACCGCAGGAAGUCCUGUGAUAUUCACAUUCACUACAAUAAACAAUCUCAUGUCAUUACAAACUAAUGUUUUGUGCUACUGAAAGAGAGACAAAACACUUCUUACCGUCAUUAUGUCUCCAACAUACAUUGCAAAUUAAUGGAUCAUCUUUCUUUUCACCAAAAUCUUGUAAGCAGCAGAUGGAGCUGCUGGAGAGAUAAGGAUAUCAUUGUGAUCUAACGCAGCUUUGUAGUCUUUUCGAAUGAGUGUUCUCGCCUAUAUUAACACCAAGUAAAACAUAUUAGUCACUAAUCCAAACCGGUUAAGUUUCUAUUACGUUAACCUGUUGAGCUCGCUUGUAGUAUAUGCAUCGUAGUGACCAGCAGAGAGUGCAUAUGUUCCCAUUAAAGAAAUGCCUCAUGCAGUGAACAUGUGAAUCAAGUGACAAUACUGUGUUUAACUGAUACCAUCGUAACGUGACAAGUUUGAAGAUGAUUCAGAUGAGGCAAGCACAUAAAAGGCUGGUACUCCAAGAGAGAAGAAAGGAAGAGAGACCUGACAAAAUGGCAACAGAAAUCGAUCUCAGACCUCAAUGUGUUUUAUACAAAGAAGUAAAGAACAUACAAAACGAAAUAAAAUGGAGACAAAGAGAAAACCUCCGUCAAUACACAACCCAAUGCUUCAAAGUGAGACGCAGCUUCCUGAGACAAAGAAAAGAUGCAUUCAGUUUCAAAGAAUACAAUACGAUGCACAAAACCAAACACAUAACAGGCCUUACAUGUGUGCUACUCUUGGAUUCAAAUCCUGAAAUAGCAUGAAGAAGCAACCGUGGAGCCAAAGCAACCAAUCACAUCCGAUCAAGAUGCAUUAAGCCAUAAGUAGGCUUGAGGCCAACAACACCACAAAGCGAAGCAGGGUGUCUAACACUUUCACCAGUGUCACUACCAAGAGACACCAUACAUAGUCUCGCUUCAACAGCUGCUGCUGAGCUUCCUGAUGAACCUCCCAGUACACGUGUCAAGUCCCAUUGAUUCGCAGUUACCUUUAAAACCAAAAUCAAACCUAAGAUCAACCCUUAAACUCAUCACACGUUAGCCAUCAAGAAAGGGUUAAGCUUUCUUCAUUUACAAGUUACCCAUCAAGAAAGACUUAAGCUUUCUUCAUAAACCUAACCUGAAAGGCAGAAGCUUCAUUUGUGCGUCCCAUUCCAAACUCAUCCAUAUUCGUCUUGCCAACAACAAUCCCUCUCACCUCCUUCACCCUCUUGGCCUCUUCAUCGAUGUUGCAUCUUUCACAAAAAUUGAGAGAGUUAUAAUUGGGCUGAAGUUAAACGAGUUAUAAUUAUUAAAGCCCAAUAAAUUGAAUUUAGUGACACUUUUAUUUUGUAGAAUUCGAAUGAAUAUUUUUCAAUGAAACACUUCCAAACAAUCCCAAAUGUUGAAAAUAGAAACGAUCCCAAAUAUUAAAUCUGAUAUUUUGGAAAAAAAAACACCAAGUUUAAUGCAGAACCUCUGAACUUUUGAUCACUUCUCCAUGAAAAUUAAUAUUUUCUUUGAUAUAUAGAAAACUAGUGACUUACAAAUUAAUAGUCUACAAAUUAGUAUUCUACAAAAGCUUCUCAAAGGUGUUCGUUUCGCUUUUAGAGUCCAUCAGGCAAAAGAAACACUAUUCAGACAAGAGAAGUUAAGAAUCUUAUGAAUAGGUUUCUCAACUGUUUUCACAUAUCUGUUUCUGAUAAUGUUUGUUCUACGAUGUAUUGAUGAAACUUGCAGUUUGCUGGAGGAUUUGAUGCCGAAAACAUGAAAGCAUUUGAAGAGCUUAGAGCAGAGACAAAACUGAAACUGGAGGAGACAAUAGUAAUAACAAUGAAGAAUCUGUAAACUGAGUUAAAAAAAAAUUUUAUGCUUUUCUACGUCUCUCUAUCGUUUUAUCACAUACUUGUCAAAUUAAAAUAAUUUAUAGUUACAGUGCAAUUUAUAGAUUAUUACUGUAAACGAAAGUUUGCAAAUUGCAAGUAUUUUGUUUUACAAUAUUUUAGAAAAUUAUUUCGCAAUAAAUUUGUAAUCUCCCAAACUACUGAAAAAGAUAAAAUAAUUGUGGUUUGUCUUUAAAGUCACAUGAUUCAUAUCAUGUGCAGCCAUGCAAAGUGUCGCUCGAAUCUUCUUCACUCUUUAAUGUAUAUUACAUUACUUAUUUUGUUAUAUAAAUUCAUACAAUAUAUAAACAGCUUGUUUCCAUGUCUAUUAACGUCCAGAAAUUUAAAAAUCAUUCACUAGAUUUUUGGUAUAUAUAGCAACAAGUGAUAGUAAAUUUUUUGUUAUUAUGUAAUCAUAUAAAUAAAUUAUCAACUUUUUAAUUUUUGGAAUUUAAGUACUUCUGAGUUCUGCCACCACCUAAUAAACAGGUCCAUUUCUUGCGUAUAGUACUUUUCACGUCCAAACAAGAUCUACAUAUUUAUUAUUAUUGUAUUGUAUAGUUAUUAAUUAUUGUCAUAAUAAUCAUUUAUAUCAUCCGACCUUCUAUAAUAAAUGAAAUAAAUUCACGGAUCUAAAGACCAAAGAUUACAAUUUACAAUCAUAGAAAACAACUAUACAUGUAACCUUUUAUAUUACUAAAAAAAAAUCAUUGUUUAGAAUCAUCACACACUUUUUUUUUUAAUCACACUACUUAAGUAUUAGUAAAAUAGUAAAGGAAAAUAAAGGAACAAAGAAACAAAUGCUUUUGCAAAAAAAAACACAUUUAGACAGCUAAGAGUUUAUUGCAAAAGCCAAAGCUUUCUUUUGAUUGCCCCCAAAACAUAAAUCUUUCUGUCUUCACGUUCCAUUGUAAUAAACAUUUCGACCACAAACUGACAAGAUCGUAUACUAAACACGUAUGUAAACCGUAUAUUAUACGGUCUUCUUCUUCAUCUCUUACAAAACACAGACAGCGAAAAACUCUUUCUUCCUCUCUCUCACUCUCUCUCUCUCUCUCAAUGUUCCAUCUCACCAUCCUCUGCUCUUUACUUUCUCUAUUCCUCCUCCCGCCGGCGAAUCUCGCCGCCGUGAGUGAUGACGAGUUCCUAAAGCUCCCGUUACUACGUAAAUCUCCGUUACCUUCUCCGACGCAAGCUCUCGCUUUAGACACUCGCCGUCUCCAUUUUCUCUCUCUCCGCCGUAAACCCAUCCCCUUCGUCAAAUCGCCGGUUGUCUCCGGCGCUUCUUCCGGGUCGGGUCAGUACUUCGUGGAUCUCCGAAUCGGCCAACCGCCUCAGUCUCUACUCCUAAUCGCCGAUACAGGAAGCGAUCUCGUUUGGGUGAAAUGCUCCGCUUGCCGGAACUGCUCUCUCCAUUCUCCCGCCACCGUCUUCUUCCCUCGCCACUCCUCCACAUUCUCUCCCACUCAUUGCUACGACCCGCUUUGUCGACUCGUGCCCGAACCGGUUCGGGCGCCGAAAUGUAACCAUACCCGGAUCCAUUCCACGUGUCAUUACGAGUACGCUUACGCGGACGGUUCAUUAACGUCCGGUCUAUUCGCUACAGAAACGACGACGUUGAAGACGAGCUCCGGUAGAGAGGCGUAUCUAAAAAGCGUUGCUUUCGGAUGCGGGUUUCGGAUCUCGGGUCAAAGCGUUUCGGGUGCGAGUUUUAAUGGAGCCCAUGGAGUAAUGGGUUUGGGCCGUGGCCCAAUUUCUUUCGCUUCUCAGUUGGGCCGUCGUUUCGGUAACAAGUUUUCGUAUUGUUUAAUGGAUUACACUCUCUCUCCGCCGCCGACGAGCUACCUCAUCAUCGGCGACGGCGGUGGCGGAGCUCGAUCCAAGCUUCUAUUCACUCCGUUGCUCACGAAUCCAUUCUCUCCGACGUUUUACUACAUCCGAUUGAAAUCAGUUUCCGUCAACGGC
RNAcentral lists this long non-coding RNA (6623 nucleotides) under Brassica napus (rape). RNAcentral describes it as "long non-coding RNA (BNAP_LNC012102)". Lineage: Eukaryota; Viridiplantae; Streptophyta; Magnoliopsida; Brassicales; Brassicaceae. The record is from RNAcentral.